UACGUAGGGCGCAAGCGUUGUCCGGAAUUAUUGGGCGUAAAGAGCUCGUAGGCGGUUUGUCGCGUCUGCCGUGAAAACCCAACGCUUAACGUUGGGCUUGCGGUGGGUACGGGCAGACUAGAGUGCGGUAGGGGUGACUGGAAUUCCUGGUGUAGCGGUGGAAUGCGCAGAUAUCAGGAGGAACACCGAUGGCGAAGGCAGGUCACUGGGCCGCAACUGACGCUGAGGAGCGAAAGCAUGGGGAGCGAACAGG
RNAcentral lists this ribosomal RNA (253 nucleotides) under uncultured Actinomycetales bacterium. RNAcentral's name for it is "partial 16S ribosomal RNA". It matches the Rfam family "Bacterial small subunit ribosomal RNA", at positions 524 to 776 of the family's 1533-position model. Lineage: Bacteria; Bacillati; Actinomycetota; Actinomycetes; Actinomycetales. The record is from RNAcentral.